Molecule: ribosomal RNA, 489 nt
Filed under: uncultured bacterium
Lineage: Bacteria
Description: partial 16S ribosomal RNA
Rfam family: Bacterial small subunit ribosomal RNA
Source: RNAcentral
AUUGAACGCUGGCGGCAGGCCUAACACAUGCAAGUCGAACGGUAACAGGAAACAGCUUGCUGUUUCGCUGACGAGUGGCGGACGGGUGAGUAAUGUCUGGGAAACUGCCUGAUGGGGGGGGUUAACUCCUGGAACCGUUAGCUAUUACCGACUACGGUGGCAGGACAAAGGAGGGGGCCCCCUGGGCCUCUUGCCUCAGGAUGUGCCCGAUGGGGUUAGCUUUGUGGUGGGGGUCCGGCCAACCAAGGCGACGAUCCCUAGCUGGUCUGAGAGGAUGACCAGCCACACUGGAACUGAGACACGGUCCAGACUCCUACGGGAGGCAGCAGUGGGGAAUAUUGCACAAUGGGCGCAAGCCUGAUGCAGCCAUGCCGCGUGUAUGAAGAAGGCCUUCGGGUUGUAAAGUACUUUCAGCGGGGAGGAAGGGAGUAAAGUUAAUACCUUUGCUCAUUGACGUUACCCGCAGAAGAAGCACCGGCUAACUCCGUG